This 1029-nucleotide long non-coding RNA is filed under the name Marmota monax (woodchuck). The record is from RNAcentral. Lineage: Eukaryota; Metazoa; Chordata; Mammalia; Rodentia; Sciuridae.
AAAUAAUACAAUUAUUUAAAAUAAUACAAUUUCACUCCUUUAAAAUAAUACAAAUAUUAAAUGAGUUUCCUUUACUCUUCUGGAUGUGCCAUACCUUUCUUGCUGAAAUUUUGACUCUAUCUGUCCUGUCCUCUCUUGCCCAGAGCCAACUGGUGUUUAUUCAAUUGCUGUUUUUUUUUUUUUCAUCUAGCCCAAGGAAACUCAGGUUUCGAGGGUCCUAUUUAGUGUAUAGUCCAGUAUCAGAUGCUACAACCAUUUCUCAUAAAUAGUUGUGUAGUCUUUAAUUAUAUUUGGUUGCAGGAAUUCAUUGCCUCUUAAGGCAACAGUAUUCAAUCAUUCAAUUCAUUCAGUGAACAUUUUCUCCCUACCAUGGGCUAAAUAUACUGUGUUUGUCUCCUAUAUCAAGAAGCUCCAGCAAGAAGAUUUUAACCUAUUAAAAAAAAACAAUUUGGAUACAAAGUGGUAUGUGUUGUUUCAAAGAUAUUCACAAGUGCUAUGAGAUUAUGGGCAAGCAAUCACCAAGUUCUGUCUUGGGCUGUCAGAAAAAUUUUCCCAGGUAAGGUAGUGUAUAAGAUGCGAUGUGGAGGAGAAGUAAACUUUUUUACUGAGCAAACAAGACAAGCUGGAGGAUGAGAACGAGAGGGGACAAGUGCCUUGACAUUUAAGAGUGCUCAAUGUGUUGGAGUGGUGACAAGUGAGCAUGGCUCACGAGUCCAAGGGUGGCAGGACACGAUUCUUCCUCAUAUGCAUUCCGGAUCUACCAAUACCGCACCUGUGCACAAUGAGGAGUGUUUCACCUGACGACAAGUGUAUAGUCCGUACAGUCCCCUCCCUUCUCCUAAAGCAGCAGCUACCCUUUCAUGGGGUAUAGCACUAUUGCCUCUAUCUUAGAGAUUAGGAAAUUGAGGACUUAGAGAAAGCUCAGUUAGCAAGUGGUGGAGUUAGGAUUCCAACCCAGGUUGUCUGAUCCCAGACUCUGUGUGUGAAGUCACUGUGUCUUUCUGCUGCCUCCCUCCACAUAGAUUCAAG